Molecule: ribosomal RNA, 427 nt
Filed under: uncultured bacterium
Lineage: Bacteria
Description: bacterial SSU rRNA
Rfam family: Bacterial small subunit ribosomal RNA
Source: RNAcentral
GGGCCCGCACAAGCGGUGGAGCAUGUGGUUUAAUUCGAUGCAACGCGAAGAACCUUACCAGGGCUUGACAUACUACAAAUUCUUUUGAGAAAAAGAAGUGCCUUCGGGAAUGUAGAUACAGGUGGUGCAUGGCUGUCGUCAGCUCGUGUCGUGAGAUGUUGGGUUAAGUCCCGCAACGAGCGCAACCCACGUCUUUAGUUGCCAGCAUUUAGUUGGGCACUCUAGAGAGACUGCCGGUGUUAAACCGGAGGAAGGCGGGGAUGACGUCAAGUCCUCAUGGCCCUUACGGGUAGGGCUACACACGUACUACAAUGGCAGAAACAAACCGUUGCAAGACCGCGAGGUGGAGCUAAUCGGUAAAACACUGUCUCAGUCCAGAUUGGAGUCUGCAACUCGACUCCAUGAAGUUGGAAUCGCUAGUAAUCGC